AUUGAACGCUGGCGGCAUGCUUUACACAUGCAAGUCGAACGGCAGCGCGGGCUUCGGCCUGGCGGCGAAUGGCGAACGGGUGAGUAAUACAUCGGAACGUGCCCAGUAGUGGGGGAUAGCUCGGCGAAAACCGGAUUAAUACCGCAUACGACCUGAGGGUGAAAGCGGGGGAUCUUCGGACCUCGCGCUAUUGGAGCGGCCGAUGGCAGAUUAGCUAGUUGGUGGGGUAAAGGCCUACCAAGGCGACGAUCUGUAGCUGGUCUGAGAGGACGACCAGCCACACUGGGACUGAGACACGGCCCAGACUCCUACGGGAGGCAGCAGUGGGGAAUUUUGGACAAUGGGCGAAAGCCUGAUCCAGCAAUGCCGCGUGUGUGAUGAAGGCCUUCGGGUUGUAAAGCACUUUUGGCGGGAACGAAAAGGACUGUGCCAAUACCACGGUUCGAUGACGGUACCCGCAGAAUAAGCACCGGCUAACUACGUG
Molecule: ribosomal RNA, 484 nt
Filed under: uncultured bacterium
Lineage: Bacteria
Description: partial 16S ribosomal RNA
Rfam family: Bacterial small subunit ribosomal RNA
Source: RNAcentral